Molecule: ribosomal RNA, 230 nt
Filed under: uncultured bacterium
Lineage: Bacteria
Description: partial 16S ribosomal RNA
Rfam family: Bacterial small subunit ribosomal RNA
Source: RNAcentral
AAAGGGUGCGUAGGCGGUUUAAUAAGUCGGCGUUAAAAUACUACAGCUUAACUGUAGAACUGGCACCGAUACUGUUAGACUUGAGUACAGUUGAGGCAGGCGGAAUUUAUGGUGUAGCGGUGAAAUGCAUAGAUACCAUAAAGAACACCGAUAGCGAAGGCAGCUUGCCAAGUUGUUACUGACGCUGAGGCACGAAAGCGUGGGGAGCAAACAGGAUUAGAUACCCUGGU